CAGUGUUACAGCUCUUUUAGAAUUUAUCUAGUAGGUUUUUCCAGA
This 45-nucleotide small nuclear RNA is filed under the name Carlito syrichta (Philippine tarsier). RNAcentral describes it as "U7 small nuclear RNA (ENSTSYG00000024410.2)". It matches the Rfam family "U7 small nuclear RNA", at positions 1 to 45 of the family's 62-position model. Rfam says of the family: Animal histone pre-mRNAs are spliced by a different mechanism than nuclear pre-mRNAs and self-splicing introns. This processing involves the U7 snRNP, which contains only one RNA species: U7. The 5' end of U7 RNA is thought to base-pair to a conserved spacer element downstream of the cleavage site in histone pre-mRNA. Lineage: Eukaryota; Metazoa; Chordata; Mammalia; Primates; Tarsiidae. The record is from RNAcentral.